UUACAUGCUUUUGCACUGGGAAAUACACUUUCAAAUUCCCAACUUUGGAAGAUUUAAUUGUGGAAGAUUGCCCCAACAUGAAGACUUUAUGUGAAGGAGUCUUAAGCACACCAAGAUUACAAACGGUAUGGGAAGACAAGUGCUUGAGUAUUGAAAGUUGUUUGGAGGGUCAACUUAAUACAAUCAUACAACAAUUACACAGAAACGUGGUUCAUUCCAAGUGGAAAUUUGCUUCUUUUGCAAGCGAUGACGGGGAAAGUGAAAGCCAUGACCUGAAAAGUGAGGGCCACGACUUGGAAAGUGAAACCUCCAAUUGAAAUCUUGAAAAACUUACACUAAAAGUGAACUACUCUAGUGCCAUCUUCAACAUCUUUUGAGCACUUGACAACUUUGGAAGUAUGACAAUGUGAUGGAUUAAGAAACCUACUUUCAUUCGCAAACGUCAAAAGUUUGAGUUGUGAGCAAGAUUCUGUCAAACUCCAAUGUAACCUGUGGAAUAAGGACUCUUUGUAUGCGGUUUGUGGGGCAUUGCAGUCCAUGUUCCUUGUGUUCAAUUUAGACAAUGAGAAGGAGAGAAACGAAAAGGGAAAACUAGUGAGAAACAGGAGACACAUGCAACGCAGGGGAGGGAGAAAGUAAUGAAAACAGUUUUUUCUGGCAUUUAUCCAACGAUGAAUCUUGCUUCAUUUUGGCUCAAAUUUCAUAACAUUAUUGUCGAUGAUAAGAUCUUCACAUGCAACAAUCAGUUUCUCGAUAGUCCUCUUCAAUGUGGUGUUUAGGUGAGAUCGCCCAUUUUGUCUCUAUCUUGUUAGGAUGAUGAUUUGUAAUGUUGUUAUAGCCCCUAGUUUUAUCUAGAGAAUAAAUCAUUGUACGCAUUAUUUAAUAUAGUAGAAGUUGAAAUCGGACUACGGUCUCGUGGUUUUUCCCAUUUGGGUUUUCCACGUAAAAUUCAGUGUCUCGUUUGUGAUUGAUUGAUCCUGUAUUUUGCUGGUGUUUUGAUUUAAAUUAUUAGACUAAGUUUGUGAACGCAUUUAAAUCACACAAAGACGGAAAAAUUAUUUGCUUCGGUUUUGUAGAUUGUUCACUGCAGCCGAUCCGGUUUUUGACCCAGGAAAUGUUCGACAAUUCCUUGCCAUUUGCUAGUUGUUGGAUUCAUUACUCAAGUAUGAAUUAUGUGACUAUGGAUGUUAAUUGAUUACUGUAUGUUUCACACAUU
Pistacia vera is the source of this 1216-nucleotide long non-coding RNA. RefSeq lists it as uncharacterized. Lineage: Eukaryota; Viridiplantae; Streptophyta; Magnoliopsida; Sapindales; Anacardiaceae. The transcript has 5 exons. The record is from RefSeq and is a predicted model, not a curated record.